CCUUUGACGUUAGCGGCGGACGGGUGAGUAACACGUGGGUAACCUACCUAUAAGACUGGGAUAACUUCGGGAAACCGGAGCUAAUACCGGAUAAUAUUUCGAACCGCAUGGUUCGAUAGUGAAAGGUGGUUUUGCUAUCACUUAUAGAUGGACCCGCGCCGUAUUAGCUAGUUGGUAAGGUAACGGCUUACCAAGGCGACGAUACGUAGCCGACCUGAGAGGGUGAUCGGCCACACUGGGACUGAGACACGGCCCAGACUCCUACGGGAGGCAGCAGGC
This 279-nucleotide ribosomal RNA is filed under the name uncultured Staphylococcus sp. RNAcentral describes it as "partial 16S ribosomal RNA". It matches the Rfam family "Bacterial small subunit ribosomal RNA", at positions 83 to 354 of the family's 1533-position model. Lineage: Bacteria; Bacillati; Bacillota; Bacilli; Caryophanales; Staphylococcaceae. The record is from RNAcentral.